RNAcentral lists this unclassified non-coding RNA (409 nucleotides) under uncultured Glomeromycotina. RNAcentral describes it as "sequence contains 28S rRNA gene". Lineage: Eukaryota; Fungi; Glomeromycota. The record is from RNAcentral.
AGAGUUAAAUAGUACGUGAAAUUGUUGAAAGGGAAACGAUUGAAGUCAGUCGUACUUACGAGUGAUCAACCUUUUUGGUGCGAUCUUGUGGGUAUCUGAGAGUGGUAACACCUUGAUGUUCUCAAGUUCGUGCUUUGGGGCGUACUUGCUCGUUUGUAGGUUAACAUCAGUUUCAAGAGUUACAAAAUGACUAAAGGAAUGUAGCUUUGAUUUCGAUUGAAGUGUUAUAGUCUUUGGUAGAUGUAACGAUUGAGACUGAGGAUUGCAACGAAUACCUUUUAGGCUAUCUGUCUGGCUUCUGGUUAUCGCUUUGGUGCCGAAAGCUUGCUUACGGUUAUCGAAGUUCGGUAUCCAAUAGGUUAGAACGGAUUAAAUUCGUUAAGGAUGUUGACGUAAUGGCUUUAAACGA